RNAcentral lists this ribosomal RNA (227 nucleotides) under uncultured bacterium. RNAcentral describes it as "partial 16S ribosomal RNA". It matches the Rfam family "Bacterial small subunit ribosomal RNA", at positions 109 to 334 of the family's 1533-position model. The record is from RNAcentral.
AGUAACGCGUGAGGAACCUGCCUCAAAGAGGGGGACAACAGUUGGAAACGACUGCUAAUACCGCAUAAGCCCACGGCUCGGCAUCGAGCAGAGGGAAAAGGAGUGAUCCGCUUUGAGAUGGCCUCGCGUCCGAUUAGCUAGUUGGUGAGGUAAUGGCCCACCAAGGCGACGAUCGGUAGCCGGACUGAGAGGUUGAACGGCCACAUUGGGACUGAGACACGGCCCAG